Molecule: long non-coding RNA, 6614 nt
Filed under: Manihot esculenta (cassava)
Lineage: Eukaryota; Viridiplantae; Streptophyta; Magnoliopsida; Malpighiales; Euphorbiaceae
Description: long non-coding RNA (MESC_LNC007252)
Source: RNAcentral
GAGACAUGUUAUGACAUGAGAUGAGAUUAUGUGAUAUGAGAUUUGAGCAUGCAUGAGAUGAGAUAGUAAGACCAGGUGAGGCACCGCCUCCUUGGCAAUCUAUUACCGGUAAGCGGUAAGAGAAGGCCAGUGAGGCCGUAGUGCCUUGGCCUAAGUAAGAGAAAAGAGCAGACCAGGUGAGACUCUGUCUCCUUGGCGCAGUCGGACUGUAAGAGUAGACCAGGAGAGGCGCCGCCUCCUUGGCAUAGUUGGACUUGAUGUGUGAUACUAUGUUUGAGAGACAGUCCUGAGGAGCCUCGUUGGGGGCCAGACAUCCUCUGGAUGUACUGAGGGUUAGUGGUGACAAUUCCAUCCUUGAUGUGUUUAGUUGUGAUGUGUUGCAUACCAUGAUAGCAUGAGUUUUAAAUGACUGUUUUUACUGUUCCUCCUCACUAGGCUAUAGAGCUCAUCCCUCUCCCUUAACCCCAGUUUUGCAGGGCUAGAGAUAGCCAGGAGGAGUCAGUCUCAGAAGAGUGCCAGUUAUGGUUAUUGCUUGUGUAAUAGUAUCAUGGACAUGAUGUAAAAUAAAAGAGAUGUAUGUCGAAUGAUGUAAUAGAUAGUAAGUCAAUGUGUUUAUGGUUAGUAUGUGCUAUGCCCAGUGUAUGGAUAAUCCUAGAUGUGUGUAUGGAUCCUGUUUUACGUUUCUUGAUGAGAAAUGUGCGGAAUCAGGCUUAAUGUAUGUAUUGUUUGAUGAGAUUCCAGUGAAAGUAAUUUGGGAAGAAAGGGUUUCAUUCCCUUGACCCACAGCGAGCAGGAUCACUGGUAUAGGCUCUAAGGGUUAUUUCAGAUUUGUAUAUCUGAAUGUUAGUAGUUAAGCCUGAUAGUUCUACAGGAUUGUUGUUUACUUUUGAUCAUGUAUGGGAUUUAUCAGGUACACAAUAUAUUUAGUAGGCUUGCUACGGGUCUCGACGGCCUUAUGCCGAUCUGGAUCCUAGUGCCAGUGAUGGUUCGGACCGUUACAAAGGGGUACCGGUUUCCGGGCUGUUACAGAUUGGUAUCAGAGCAUAGGGCCUCUAGAGUACGAUGUGUUGGGCAAAGCUGCUUAAAGAUUAGAGUUGUUUCACAUCGGAAAGAGGUUGUGUUAGAAGGGCAAGCACAAUAAAAGAAAUCAUGUCCACUAGGAUAAGAUAUAAGUUUUGCAUGAUGAUGUGUGAUGCCAUGCCAUGAUUUAUGCAUGUACAAUCUUGUUAUGUGAUAUGUGUGUUGUAGGUUCAUGUAUUUCUAUAUGAACCGCAUGAUUGCUAAUGCCUGUAUGUUUGUGUGUUGUUUUCCAGAGAGGUAGGAUGCGAGGAGCUCGUCGAUCUGUACGAUUGACUGGAACUCCACCAGAGUGUAAGAGCAUGGAUGUCCAAUCCCCUGAAUCAAGCAGAGAAGGUACAUCAAGGGACCCUAGAAGGUCUUUUGAGGAGACUAGAAGAGGAUUUGUUCAGGGCGGUGUGUCAGUGGAUAUCAGGGAACUAGAGGAGGAUGACCAGAGGAGAGAUGAUAGUUUGGGCAUGGGUAUGUCAGGCCAGGAUAUGGGAGAGUUUCAAGGAGGCACUCAGGCCUCGGGUUUUGUACCACCUCAGUAUCCGCCCUACCCACAAGGGCUAGGGUAUCCGAUGGGAGGUACCUCAGAUUUCUGCUAUCACCCAUAUCCUACCUUUAUGCCCUAUCCUCCCUAUUACCCGCCAUAUCCAUAGUAUCCUAUGUAUCCACCCUCAUCCUAUUUCCCAGGUCCAGCAAACCCUAGCCCAGGAAAUGUUGCACCUCUUCCUUCAUCAGUAGAACCAGUAGUUUCGGAUGUUCAAACAUCCAAACCUAGCUCAUCGGUUGAGGGUAAGGUAAAGAUGAUAGAUUACCUGAAGUUAGAUGGCCCCAGGUUUGAAACAGGUGAUGAUCCUUUUGAGUAUCUCAAAACGGUGAAAAUGAUAACAGAUGAGCUAGGAGUAAGUGAUAGUAGAGCCAUUCAGAUGGCAGGGUUCACAUUGAAAUGCAGGAAAGCAAGAGAAUGGUUCAACAACUAUGUGGACCCAAGGCUGGAGAGCUUAUCCUGGGAUCAGUUUGCUGAUGAAUUUGCAGGAUGGGCUUUUCCAGAAAGUUCAAGGGAAUCGAAGAUGAUCGAGUUUGAACAACUAAGGCAGACAAAAGAGAUGCGUAUAGAUGAGUACACAGAUAAGUUCCUUGAGUUGCUCCAGUACGUGGGGCAAGUAUAUGAUACAGAUCAGAAGAAAGCUAGGAGAUAUACCGUGAGAUUGCAUCCUAGGUAUUCUUCCUUGAUCUUAGCUGCAGAGAGAGAGAAGUUCCACUCUAUAGUGGAUGCAGCUAGAAAGAUGGAGGCUAAUGCCAUCAUUGAAGGGUCAGUUAAACCACAGGUGGCACGAUCCUCAGAUUCUAAAACCCCAGGAACAGAAGAUAUUGAUCUUUUCCCUUCGAGUGAGGUUGCUGCAAAGAGCAAAAAGAAAGUCAGAGGCCUUAAAGGGUCAAAGAAGAGGGCGUUCUGGAAUAGAGUAAAGUCUAGUAUGGGUUUAAGCGAAGGCUCGAGCUCUGGUUGGGAUAGUUCUCGAUCUACGAGGUGCGGUAGGCUACACAAAGGAGUCUGUCGGAUUGGGACAACAGCAUGUUUUAGGUGCGGACAGGAAGGGCACAUAGCACGAGAGUGUUCCACUAGGACCUUGUCAGCACAGUCCUUGCAGACAGCUUCAGAUAGUAUCGUUCAACCAAAAGCUCCAACCUCAGUGCAGGGCAGAGGCAGAGGAAGAGGGGUAGUCCCUUCUUCAGCAGGUUUCCGCGAGGAAGAUCAAUUGGCUUCGGCACAGAUCUUCACUAUGACCCAGCAGGAGGCUGACACAUCGGACAUGGUGGUGACAGGUACUUGCACUUUUCUAUGUUCGAAUGUGUACGUUUUAGUGGACCCUGAUGUAUCUCUUUCCUUGUUGCUUUGAGAGCUGUAGAUAGAGGGGAUUUGAUAACUUCUGGGCUUAGAGUGUUUUCUUUGGGUCAAUUGGCCCAAGUGUGAUCCAUCCGUAACAGAGUCAGUCAGUUCAGUUCAGAGUUUGUGGUGAGUAGAUGCCUUCCAGCUGUUCCAGUGAUUCUAGAUUUGACUGUGUGAUGUCGUUCUAGCAGUGGAUUGGCUAGCUACUCAGAGUACUGCCUGUGUCUUUAGAGACAAGGUAGGAGAGUUUAGAGACCAGGAUGGAUCAGAGGUAGACCUGAGAGGGGAUAGUGUAGCAUACCCAGAAAUUUGAUAUCAGCCCUACAGGCUCGUGAUUUCUUUAGGAAAGGUAGUCAGGGGUUUCUUGCUCUUGAUAGAGAGCAUAGUAGUCAGGUCAGGGAACCAGCCUCAAUGCCCGUAAGCAGAGAGAGAGAAAGAGUUAUAGAUGUUUUCCCAGACAGUUCGCAGGUUUACCAUAGUUGGAACAAAAUAGAGCUUGGAAGUCAAGUGAAGAUGGAGACUAGGCUCAUCUUCACCUCUUCCUUUGAAAUGGUACCUGUAGAGUUUAAAAGAUGAAAAAGUCGUAAGAGCUAGAAGAAACAAUUGCAAAAGUUAAGAAAGUUGUUAGAACAGUUGUGAACUUGGUAAAUAAAGAUUUUAUCUGACAUAGUACCCCAUCCUGGAAUGUUCCAGUGUUGUUGUGGGAAAUGAAGGAUGAAACCUUGAGACUUUGUAACGACUGAGAGCAGUUGAGCAAGGUCACUACCAAGGGUAAGUGUUCCCAUGCAAGAUUAAUGCUCUAUGAAAACAGCGAGGAAGAGUUGAUUGGUUUCCACGAUAGAUCUGAGAUUCGGGAACCAUAUGUUGAGAGGUAGAGAAAAAAAAAAGUCAUUUUAGUAGAGAUAAAGAGAGAAAGACAAAGAUCAGAGUGCGCAGCAGAAGCAUAGAGUAGUCCAGAAAAAGCAGAGAAGCAUGCCCAUUAUCUACUGAGUGUUGUAGACUCUAAAAGAAAAUGGCAUAGAGGCCAAGUUCUGCAGUAUGAGUUUGAUUAAGGGGCAUGUCUGUUUGAAUCAUGGUGUGUCAGACCAUGAAUGUUGAGGGAAAUAGAAAGUUGAAGCUAUAGGUGAUAACCUAGACCCUCUAUGGUGACAUAGAUAAAGGACUUGGUGGGUCGACAAGUUACUAUAGGAAGUUCAUUUAGAAUUUUCUUAAAGUUGUUACUCCUAUGAUCAGAUUGUGUGAAGAGAAUCAGAGAAUAGGGUGAUCAGAGUAGUGUGAAUAAAGUGUAGAAAAGAACUAAAGAGAAGGGUGAUUUGUUGAGAAAAAGAAACUAACACUAAGAUACAUUGGACCCUUUGAAAUCCUGCAGAGGAUUGGGGAUGUAUCCCAUUAGUUAGAUCCCUUUGGUUUUCCUUAUUUCUUAAUUCGAGUGUGGUUCCUUUGCACCAGAGGUCGAGAUCUCAAGAAAUCUCACUAGCCUAGAGUAGUUUGAGUGGCAAAGGAACAUAAAUUGAAUUUCCCCAUACACGAUCGAAGAAGGAUAGUUGAAUCCAAAGCAAAGGGAAAGUCAGUAGUCAGAAGAAAACAUCAGGUCGGCUGUGUGUCGACAGGAAUGAUAAGCAGUCAGUGUAGAGUGUGAACACAGCUCAAAACGGGAAGAGUUAAGAAAGUCAGGUAGUGAUUGUACAAAACCAGGAGUUUUACUCCAAUAUCUGUGUCUCUUCUCAGAGAGAGGUUUUAGGCUUUCCUCGAUUGCUUGCUUGCAUGUUUAUUUGCUUGAACAUUCGUGGACGAAUGUUCUUAAAGGGGGGAAGAAUGUAAUACCCGGCUAGAUCAGACACCGGAAUUCUUACCGUCCGGUGGAAUUCGAGGAUGUUAGAGGUUUCUAGAAGGGUAAGAGAAAGGUUUUCUGAAAUGUUUUCAAGUAUUUUAAAGGGUUAGAGUGGAAUAGGAUUGAGUUUUGAAGAGAAAAGACCAAGGAGGAUUUGGCCAAGUUCGGCCGCCGAAAGUGCCUUACAUUCGGCUUCCGAAAGCUCAGGUUCGGCCGCCGAACGUUGCAUGGUUUUGCAUGCAUUUUGGCCGCCGAAGCUGAAGCGGUCAGCUCCCUAUAUAAACGCCUCUAGUCGGUGAAAUGGAUAAGUGUUGCCUCCUUUUCACAAACUGAGGUGAAGCCACGUCCUCCAUGAGUCAUCUUCAUGGUUUUAUCAAAUCUUGUAAGGGUUGAUUGGUUUUCAUUUUGUUGUGAAGGUGUUAAGCUAAAAAGAGAAGUUUUGAGAUUUAAAGAGUUUGAAGGAGAGUUGUUCCAUAUUUUCAAGUUCAGAUCGUUCAUCUUCUUGAUUUCAAGAGGUAAGUGAAGAUCUUGAACUUCUUUUGAUGAUUUAUAGAGGUUUUAUGGAGUUUUGGGUAGAGUUGCAUGUUUAGGGUAAAAAGCAUGAUUUUGGUGUUUUGAGGUUGAAUGCUUGUAUAUGUGUUGUUGCGUGAUGUUUUUGUUGGGGUUGUAAGUUAGUUUUGGACCCCUUUGUGCAUAUACUUGAGUAUAUGUGUGUUGAGGAGUUGUGAUAUGCAUGUGGAAGUGUUGGAGUAGUUGGGGAGGCUUGUUUUCUGUCGUGGAUGAGUUCUGGAUGAACUCAGGUUCGGCAGCCGAAGGUACAUUCGACCACCGAACCCCUUGAGGAGGUGGCUUUGACUGCCUAACCCACCCCCAAGAGUUUUGAGGUUCGGCUCUGGAAGGGGGAUUCGGCCGCCGAAGGUGCCGCCGAAGGUUAGAGACUUUCGUCUCUGGAGUGUGUUUCAGCCCCCGAACCUUGCCCCCGAAAGGGUUCGGCUGCCGAAAGUGGAGAUUCGGCCGCCGAAGGUGCUUGAGUUUCGGCUCUGGAGAGGACAUUCGGCCGCCGAACCUGCCGCCGAAAGUGUUCUGUCCAGCCUUCUUUUGCAUGCUUUAUGUGAUUGUUUUAGAAUCUUUUAGGGGGUUUAUGGGAAGUUCUAAUGAGUUGUUAUUGAGCUAGUUUGGUCCCUCAUAUGAUGUCCACCUGUAUAGGAUCGGACCUGAGAGGCAGAGGUGACCAGCAGUGAGUUAGCUGAUUCAGAGUCAGUAGAGCACCAUCCAGAGGUGAGUGGAACGAAACUUAAUGUUUUUUUAAAUAUGAGAAAUGAUAUUUGUUUUUAGCAUGUUUCAUACAUCAUGACUAAUAUGAAUAUGCAAUAGGUUGAUUGCAUAGAAUCACGAAUAUGAUGCAUUGCAUUCUUUGAUGAACAUGAGAUGGAUGGAUAUUGGAUGAUCCUUCGCCCUUAAGAUGAGAUGAGAUUAUUUGAUAUGAGACAUGUUAUGACAUGAGAUGAGAUUAUGUGAUAUGAGAUUUGAGCAUGCAUGAGAUGAGAUAGUAAGACCAGGUGAGGCACCGCCUCCUUGGCAAUCUAUUAUCGGUAAGCGGUAAGAGAAGGCCAGUGAGGCCGUAGUGCCUUGGCCUAAGUAAGAGAAAAGAGCAGACCAGGUGAGACUCUGUCUCCUUGGCGCAGUCGGACUGUAAGAGUAGACUUGGAGAGGCGCCGCCUCCUUGGCAUAGUUGGACUUGAUGUGUGAUACUAUGUUUGAGAGACAGUCCUGAGGAGCCCCGUUGGGGGCCAGACAUCCUCUGGAUGUACUGAGGGUUAGUGGUGACAA